RNAcentral lists this ribosomal RNA (746 nucleotides) under uncultured bacterium. RNAcentral's name for it is "bacterial SSU rRNA". It matches the Rfam family "Bacterial small subunit ribosomal RNA", at positions 33 to 773 of the family's 1533-position model. The record is from RNAcentral.
ACGCUGGCGGCAGGCCUAACACAUGCAAGUCGAGCGGUAGAGAGGAGCUUGCUUCUCUUGAGAGCGGCGGACGGGUGAGUAAUGCCUAGGAAUCUGCCUGGUAGUGGGGGAUAACGUUCGGAAACGGACGCUAAUACCGCAUACGUCCUACGGGAGAAAGCAGGGGACCUUCGGGCCCUUGCGCUAUCAGAUGAGCCUAGGUCGGAUUAGCUAGUUGGUGGGGUAAUGGCUCACCAAGGCGACGAUCCGUAACUGGUCUGAGAGGAUGAUCAGUCACACUGGAACUGAGACACGGUCCAGACUCCUACGGGAGGCAGCAGUGGGGAAUAUUGGACAAUGGGCGAAAGCCUGAUCCAGCCAUGCCGCGUGUGUGAAGAAGGUCUUCGGAUUGUAAAGCACUUUAAGUUGGGAGGAAGGGUUGUAGAUUAAUACUCUGCAAUUUUGACGUUACCGACAGAAUAAGCACCGGCUAACUCUGUGCCAGCAGCCGUGGUAAUACAGAGGGUGCAAGCGUUAAUCGGAAUUACUGGGCGUAAAGCGCGCGUAGGUGGUUAGUUAAGUUGGAUGUGAAAUCUCCGGGCUCAACCUGGGAACUGCAUUCAAAACUGACUGACUAGAGUAUGGUAGAGGGUGGUGGAAUUUCCUGUGUAGCGGUGAAAUGCGUAGAUAUAGGAAGGAACACCAGUGGCGAAGGCGACCACCUGGACUGAUACUGACACUGAGGUGCGAAAGCGUGGGGAGCAAAC